This is a transfer RNA of Loxodonta africana (African savanna elephant), 75 nucleotides long. It matches the Rfam family "tRNA". Rfam says of the family: Transfer RNA (tRNA) molecules are approximately 80 nucleotides in length. Their secondary structure includes four short double-helical elements and three loops (D, anti-codon, and T loops). The record is from Rfam. Lineage: Eukaryota; Metazoa; Chordata; Mammalia; Proboscidea; Elephantidae.
GGAGACUUGGUUUCACAGUGGUUAAGCACUUGGUUGCUAACCAAAAGGUGGGUGGUUUGAAUCCACCAGCCUUCG